GGUCCAUCAGAUAAGGAUCACUUGCAUUGUGACUACUGUGGGAAAUCUCGGCACACCAAAGAACAAUGUUGGAAGCUGCACGGCCGUCCAACUAAAGGGCGUGGAGGAAAAAGGAUGGGCUCUGCUAGAUCACAAGCAAAUGUAUCUGAGGCUGUGAGUGUUUCUGAAGAUACUGCUAUCACUGGGAUGUUUUCCAAUGAAGAGGUACAGACUCUGAGACGAUUCCUAUCACAGCUUGAAUCACAAUCCACUACAGUUGCCUCUUCUAACUUCGUCAACUCAGGUAAUGCUUUUCUUGCCAAUCUUAAUAAUUCUUUUUGGGUUAUAAAUUCUAAAGCAAACAAGCAUAUGACAGGCUUUUCAAAUAAAUUCAUAUCCUAUUCUCCAUGUUCAGGAAAAGAAAAAGUCCGCACUGCGGAUGGAUCCUUAUCCAGUGUUUCUGGAACAGGUUCUGUUAAAUGCACUCCUACUAUAAGUCUUAGUUCUGUCUUACAUGUGCCUAGCUUUCCUAUUAACCUUUUGUCUGUCAGUUCUAUCACAAAAGCUCUCAACUGCAAAAUUGAAUUUUUUCUCACUCACUGUGUGUUUCAGGAGUUGAUAACAGGGAGAACGAUUGGCAGUGGUAGACUGCAAGAUGGGCUAUAUCUCUUGAAUGAUUAUGUUGGCCAGGCCAUGUUGGGGCAAUCUAUGGGUGCUGAGGAACAAAUUAUCAUGUGGCAUAGGAGACUAGGACAUCCUUCAUUUACUGUGUUAGAAAAACUUUAUCCUUUUCUGUUUAAACAAUGCAAAACUGAAUUGUUAGUAUGUGAUGCUUGUGAGUUUGCUAAACAUACUAGACAAUCUUAUCCUGCAAUAAAUAAUAAGGCUUCAGUUCCUUUUAUGACUAUCCAUUCUGAUGUAUGGGGGCCUACUCAAACUGUGUCUUUAUCGGGUUACAAAUGGUUUGUAACCUUUAUUGAUUGUUGCAGUAGGUUAACUUGGGUAUAUCUGAUGAAAGGGAAAAAUGAAGUAUUUUCAUGUUUUCAGCAGUUUCACAAAAUGAUUAGCACCCAGUUUGAUGCUCAUGUUAAAAUAUUGAGAACUGAUAAUGGUACAAUAUAUAUAAAUAGAGUCUUUCAAGAGUAUUUGAAGGCACAUGG
RNAcentral lists this unclassified non-coding RNA (1139 nucleotides) under Hevea brasiliensis (rubber tree). The record is from RNAcentral. Lineage: Eukaryota; Viridiplantae; Streptophyta; Magnoliopsida; Malpighiales; Euphorbiaceae.